This 697-nucleotide long non-coding RNA is filed under the name Anas platyrhynchos platyrhynchos (common mallard). RNAcentral's name for it is "lncRNA (ENSAPLG00000026171.1)". Lineage: Eukaryota; Metazoa; Chordata; Aves; Anseriformes; Anatidae. The record is from RNAcentral.
AGCUGGAGGAAUCACAACAUCCCACAUACAGAGCAGUCCAAAUUUCUGCCAAACUCUUCACUGCAUCUUUAACUCAAACCACUUGUACUCUUCGUGAUUGAUGCUUAUAAAAAAAGGCAGACCUAACCCAGGAAAGUCUUCUGCAACCUGGCUCUGACUUCCUUCAAACAAAAACUUAUGUACAGUCAUACAGUUUAACAGCCUGCCCUGAGAGUUCCACAUGGACCUAACACAGCAUUUGAUGAGAUCUAGAGCUGUGCAGAUAAAAGCAAAAGCAACAACAAAAAACUACUGCUACCAGCUCCCUUCCCUCUGAAGUCAUCACAAUUCAGGUUAGGAAGAUCAGUAAGUAAAAAGUACAAGUCAAGUUGAAAAGCUUCUAGUGUGGCCUGCACCAUGAAAGGACUCCGACAGCUUUGCAAUUAUACCUUGUUCCUCCUCAUUCUUCUGUAUUCCAUCUUGGAGCGGUGAAUCUUCAAUCAUCACAAUUUUGUUGGGGCUGACAAAAAAAAGGACAGUCUUCUGACAGCUCUGGAGAGCCUGUAAUUCAUGUUACUUCUUGAAGUAUUUCACUAGCUAGCACCAAAGGUCAGAUGCUUGCUUUCCUUUACUAAGCCUCUCCUUUUCAAGGCUGGUGUUUCUGUCUUGAUAAUGACCAACUUUGUCACCAAGCUGCCUUUUUUCUAACCUGACAUCA